This 453-nucleotide ribosomal RNA is filed under the name uncultured bacterium. Its description in RNAcentral is "partial 16S ribosomal RNA". It matches the Rfam family "Bacterial small subunit ribosomal RNA", at positions 29 to 507 of the family's 1533-position model. The record is from RNAcentral.
AUGAACGCUGACAGAAUGCUUAACCCCUGCAAGUCCGCUUGAACUUCGGUUUGGGUGGCGGACGGGUGAGUAACGCGUAAAGAACUUGCCUCACAGAUAGGGACAACAUUUGGAAACGAAUGCUAAUACCUGAUAUUAUGAUUAUAUGGCAUCGUAUAAUUAUGAAAGCUAUAUGCGCUGUGAGAGAGCUUUGCGUCCCAUUAGCUAGUUGGAGAGGUAACGGCUCACCAAGGCGAUGAUGGGUAGCCGGCCUGAGAGGGUAAUCGGCCACAAGGGGACUGAGACACGGCCCUUACUCCUACGGGAGGCAGCAGUGGGGAAUAUUGGACAAUGGACCAAGAGUGUGAUCCAGCAAUUCUGUGUGCACGAUGAAGUUUUUCGGAAUGUAAAGUGCUUUCAGUUGAGAAGAAAAAAAUGACGGUACCAACAGAAGAAGUGACGGCUAAAUACGUG